GCAGUCGGCCUGUGGCUGGCCAUGUUCAUGAGGGCGCGUCCCUUGGCACCCCUGUAGCCGCUAUGUUUCCCACGCCCGUGGCAGGCCUGAGAGAUUAUGUUUGCGGGGGGUGCUUUUUUGGUAGCUUCUGUGUUCGCCAUAUUUGAAAGGGGCAGACGGCCAUGUUCGUGAACGGCGCUUCCCUUGGUGCACCUGUGGCCGCCAUGUUUGAGCGGGACCCCGUGGCAGGCCAGGACUGUUUCUCCGGUGCUAUCCCAGAGCAUGGCGCAUCCACUCAUUCACUCAAGGGAAAGGCCUGAAAGUAAAAUUGUAUCAACCUUAGGUUUGGCUAAUGUUGCCAUUAGGCAAACCUAAUGUUAACGAAGCCAGGAGGUUCUCGUUUUGGGCCUUGACUGGACAGGUUUGAGCUAGAAACCACUCGAAGUAUUGAUCAUCCAUCUGAUCAUCAAGUUUUUUUUUUUUUUUGAGUUGGAGUCUCACUCUGUUGCUCACGCUGGAGUGCAGUGGCACGAUCUCAGCUCCCUGCAACCUCCACCUCCCGGGUUCUCCUGCCUCAGCCUUCCAAGUAGCUGGGAUUAUAAGCUUGUGCCACCAUGCCUGGCUAAUUUUUUAUAUUUUCGGUUGAGAUGGGGUUUCACCGUGUGGCCAGGCUGGUCUCAAACUCCUAACCUCAAGUGAUCCGCCUGCCUCGGCCUCCCAAAGUGCUGGGAUUACAGGCGUGAGCCGCCACUCCCAGCUUGUUCAUCCAGUUUUUAUUGAGCAUCUAUUAUGUGCCGAUAUUGAGGUAGACUCUGGGAGUCACAGCAGUGAAUGCAGCUGCCUGGAUGCCUCCUGAGGGCCGGAGCCUCACUGGGGAGAUGGACAUGAACAGCAAAAUGCACAGCGAGGAAAGCCAGGGGUCUCUGCGGGGAUGCUGCAGGACACGAGAGCCAGCCAAGACCUAUGGCCCCUGCAGCCACCGAGGGCUCGAGAGCGCCCCUGUGGACUUGGCUGGGCCCUUCAUGGUGACAUCCAGGAAUGCGGCUGAGCGCGGGUGUUGACCUCGCUGUUUGCUGGAAUGUUUGGGUUCUUGGACCAUGUCAGUGACGGCUGUGUCACCAUGGCCUCGCUAUCCCCAGGAAAACCUAACGUGCACCCCGCGCCUGUCCUCUGGGACUCCUGUCCUCCUCCUUUGUCUGACCCCUGAGAGGCUUACCGUUUCCCCAGGGCAGCCCCGGCUGUGGCCCUCGGCCCUGCUCCAGGCGGCCAUGUCAGUGUCCUCCCUCGGCGCUCCCAACACCCUACCUGGCUCUGCGAUGGCCACCCUGGACUCCUAAACACCCCAGAAAGGGAAGAGAUUUAAGAGGAACCUUGACUCCUGCCAUUCUGCGCAGUCGUGGGUCCCUCCUCCACCCGGGGCCCUCAAGGGGAUUUCUGUCCACACUCCCAGCCAGCGACCCCUCCCAGUUCCGCAGCUGGAGCGGCCCUCUCUCCUGAACAUUCGGGCACCUGCGUCUGUCACUGCAGCCAGAGGGCUGGAGUGUCUUCGGUCAACUCGCCAUCCCUGCCACGGCUGGAGGCCACAUGUCCCAGAACCUACCUUGCUGGGAUGGGGGUUGGGGUGGCAGAGGCUGAACGCAUGUGAGGUUUGGGGGAGGACAAGCGGAGCGGGGAUGUGUGGGAGGUCCUGGUGUCCACCGUGAGGACGGUCACACCCCAUAGCUUUGUUGAUGCUGUGGCUGUAGCAGGCCCAGUGGCUCCGCUGAGCCUCCCUAGCACCAGUGCCCAGUGAAGUGUGGGGGGCUGGACAUAGGUGGCCUCAGUUCCUGGGACUCCCCCAAAGCUCUGGUUUCCCCCCUGCUCCCAGGCUUCAGGUGGACGAGUUAGUGACCACCCCCACUCCAGACCUCCCUCCCCCAGCCACCCCCACAGUUAUAAAAACCUUCAUUCUCAUAUGGAA
RNAcentral lists this long non-coding RNA (1939 nucleotides) under Pan troglodytes (chimpanzee). Its description in RNAcentral is "lincRNA". The record is from RNAcentral. Lineage: Eukaryota; Metazoa; Chordata; Mammalia; Primates; Hominidae.